AAACUGUCAGCUCGCAAAGCAAUGGAAGUGACUCUGUCCUUGUAUGUCGUACUGAUUCCUUCAUUGGAGUUCCAUGACAGUGACCUCUUCGUGUCUGAAGCACACAGGGGUACCUCUCAAGCAAGAGCGUCCGUUCACGUUACCAUGAACAAAACAGCGUGUUCAAGGCAAGCGACCCGAUCGCUCGCAUGGUUCAGCAUGGGAUGACAAGGGAUCGACCAGUGUAUGUCGACAACUCUCUUUGCCUGGCACUUAAGCAUGCACAAUCGGACAAUGCGGGACCUAGUGUGUUGUGUGCCAGCUCUGGCUCUCGCAUGCCAAGCAGCGAUGUAGGUCAUGAGUGACCAGCAGAUUGGCUAUGACUACGGGUUUCCGACCGGAACUGAGGAGAGCAUUCGGAGGUCUACGUACCGCAGGGUGAGAGGUGAAAUUCUUAGACCCCUGUGUGACGAACUGAAGCGAAGGCGUUUCCACCAAGGGUGCGUCUGUCAAUCAAGAACGAGAGUGUGGGGAGCGAAGAUGAUCAGAUACCGUUGUAGUCCAUUACCGUAAACGAUGCCAGCUCGGUGAUGGGCCUGUGUUCUUACCAGAACGACUUGCUCAGCACCACCCCCCAUCAACGAGAAAUCCAAGCCUAUGGGUUCAGGGGGGAGUACCGUCGCAAGGCUGAAACUUAAAGGAAUUGACGGAAUUGCACCACAAGGUGUGGAGUCUGCGGCUUAAUUUGACACAACACGGGGAACGUUACCGGGUCAGGACGCAGCAAGGAUGGACAGAUUGAGAGCUCUUUCUUGAUUCUUUGGAGGGUGGUGCAUGGCCGUUUCUGGUUGGUGGAGUGAUUUGUCUGGUUGAGUCUGAUAACGAGCGAGAUCUCUGCCUCCCAAUAGCUGCUGGCCUCGUUACAGUAGGGCGAUGGGAGACCGAACCAGGGCACUGACUCGUCAGAGCUCUGUCCUCGCCUUCCGUUCUUCGUCCGAGAGUGCCAGUUCACUUCUUCGAGGAGCUAGGUGUGCUUACCAACACCUGCAAGCUAGAGCCGACAGCAGGUCUGUGAUGCCCCUAAAUGUCCUGGGCCGCACGCGCACGACAAUGGCACUGUGAACAUGCUCAUGCCCAAAUUGUCAUUGGGUCCUGCACCGACAGGUGUAGGUAACCCUCGAAGCCAGUGCCGUGGCUGGGAUAGAUGAUUGCAAUUAUUCGCCUUGAACGAGGAAUACCUAGUAGGCAUGGUUCAUCAGGCCAUACCGAUUAUGUCCCUGCAAUUUGUACACACCGCCCGUCGUUGCAACCGAUGGUGUCAGGAUAGAGGUCUCAAGAGCCAACACAGGUGGGUCACACUGCUUGCCCAGCGAAUCUGCCCAAUGUUCUGAUGCUAGAGGAUGCAAA
RNAcentral lists this ribosomal RNA (1386 nucleotides) under metagenome. RNAcentral describes it as "bacterial SSU rRNA". It matches the Rfam family "Eukaryotic small subunit ribosomal RNA", at positions 637 to 1786 of the family's 1831-position model. The record is from RNAcentral.